UCAGACGAUGCGUCAUGCAUAUCAAUAAGCGGAGGAAAAGAAACUAACAAGGAUUCCCCUAGUAACGGCGAGUGAAGCGGGAAGAGCUCAAAUUUGAAAUCUUAAAGGGUUUCCCUUUACGAAUUGUAGUUUAAAGAAGUGUUUUCUGUUGAGGUUUUGGUAAAAGUUCUUUGGAAUAGGACAUCAUAGAGGGUGAGAGUCCCGUAUUUGACCUUUACUUUCAACUUAGUGAUACACUUUCAAAGAGUCGGAUUGUUUGGGAAUGCAGUCCAAAAUGGGUGGUAAAUUUCAUCUAAAGCUAAAUAUUGGCGAGAGACCGAUAGCGAACAAGUACCGUGAGGGAAGGAUGAAAAGAACUUUGAAAAGAGAGUUAAGCAGUACGUGAAAUUGUCAAAAGGGAAGCGUUUGACACCAGUGUUGUUUUUCUGAAAAUCAAUUAAAGAACUGUUUAUGCUAAGCUGUUUAGACUUUAUCAGCUAUCUGUUUAGUUUUAGAGCUUUUCUUUAAUAGCACUUUUCAGUUAACAAGUCAACAUCAAUUUCUUUUGCUGUAAAAAAGCUUGAGGAAGGUGGCUUGAGAUUCGUCUUAAGUGUUUAUAGCCUCUUGCCUAUGCAGUCGGAGAGAUUGAGGUCUGCAGCGUAGAUCCUUCGGGGCUAAAUGCAUUUGUGCUAAGUUAUAGCAUUUUAUAGACAACUUGUUGACUAUGAUUUGUCUUGUAGCUUACUCGCUUAUGUUAUUUUACCUACGCUUAGGAUGUUGACACACGCGCGUGCUCG
This 776-nucleotide ribosomal RNA is filed under the name uncultured Neocallimastigales. RNAcentral's name for it is "partial large subunit ribosomal RNA". It matches the Rfam family "Eukaryotic large subunit ribosomal RNA", at positions 18 to 643 of the family's 3401-position model. Lineage: Eukaryota; Fungi; Neocallimastigomycota; Neocallimastigomycetes; Neocallimastigales. The record is from RNAcentral.